AGUAAAUAGAUACCCUGGUAGUCCGCGCCGUAAACGAUAAGUACUAGGUGUAGGAGGUAUCGACUCCUUCUGUGCCGCAGUUAAACACAAUAAGUACUCCGCCUGGGAAGUACGGUCGCAAGAUUAAAACUCAAAGGAAUUGACGGGGGCCCGCACAAGCAGCGGAGCAUGUGGUUUAAAUUCGAAGCAACGCGAAGAACCUUACCUAGACUUGACAUCUCCUGAAUAGUGUAGAGAUACAUGAAGCCCUUCGGGGCAGGAAGACAGGUGGUGCAUGGUUGUCGUCAGCUCGUGUCGUGAGAUGUUGGGUUAAGUCCCGCAACGAGCGCAACCCUUAUUACUAGUUGCUACCAUUAAGUUGAGCACUCUAGUGAGACUGCCCGGGUUAACCGGGAGGAAGGCGGGGA
This 407-nucleotide ribosomal RNA is filed under the name uncultured bacterium. RNAcentral describes it as "bacterial SSU rRNA". It matches the Rfam family "Bacterial small subunit ribosomal RNA", at positions 774 to 1179 of the family's 1533-position model. The record is from RNAcentral.